GCGUUAGGUGUCUCUUUAAACCCUCUCUCCCCUCUUUAUUUCCAAAUCUUUAUCUUUGGCUUUCUAAAGCUGUAAAGGCACACUGGCACCUUAGGUGGUCAGGUAAGAUCGCUGGAUUCCUUAUUUCGGCGGAAGUCCAGCGCACCAUUCCCGCCACUGUACCCAUUUUAGAAACACUUGGAAGACCCUUAAGGAUCAUUUACGGAGAGAAAAGUCCUGCGUGUUCCGAAGUUCAGGGGCCCCCUGAUCCCGCUGAGCCCCCUCCAGGAGCGGAAGGGUUAAGAAUGAUGAAGAAGAGGAAGCGAAGCGCGCCCCCCGGCCCAUGCCGCAGCCACGGGCCCAGACCCGCCACGGCGCCCGCGCCGCCGCCCUCGCCGGAGCCCACGAGACCUGCAUGGACGGGCAUGGGCUUGAGAGCAGCACCUUCCAGCGCCGCCGCUGCCGCCGCCGAGGUUGAGCAGCGCCGCCGCCCCGGGCUCUGCCCCCCGCCGCUGGAGCUGCUGCUGCUGCUGCUCAGCCUCGGGCUGCUCCACGCAGGUGACUGCCAACAGCCAGCCCAAUGUCGAAUCCAGAAAUGUACCACGGACUUCGUGUCCCUGACUUCUCACCUGAACUCUGCCGUUGACGGCUUUGACUCUGAGUUUUGCAAGGCCUUGCGUGCCUAUGCUGGCUGCACCCAGCGAACUUCAAAAGCUUGCCGUGGCAACCUGGUAUACCAUUCUGCCGUGUUGGGUAUCAGUGACCUCAUGAGCCAGAGGAAUUGUUCCAAGGAUGGACCCACAUCCUCUACCAACCCCGAAGUGACCCAUGAUCCUUGCAACUAUCACAGCCAUGCUGGAGCCAGGGAACACAGGAGAGGGGACCAGAACCCUCCCAG
This 877-nucleotide small RNA is filed under the name Pongo abelii (Sumatran orangutan). Its description in RNAcentral is "processed transcript". Lineage: Eukaryota; Metazoa; Chordata; Mammalia; Primates; Hominidae. The record is from RNAcentral.